UGGUCCUGCUACAAGGCAUAGGCCUGAUAUUGAACUCUGUAUACGAGAAGCUGAAUCGUCAGCGUCGAGCUUUUUUGUCGUGUUAUAUUAAAAUCCCAAGGCCCAACCAUACUGUAACAUGUUGGUUUUUUGGCGCUGCUUGCAAGUUGUUACUUAAGACCACACAAGAAAGUCUGGGUAAUUAAUAAUAUUAAUUAUUAUUAUUAUGACUGAGGAGAGCCAGAAUUUCUAGCCAGAGGCAUGCAGAGCUUAAGGUUUAUUUGCUGCCCAUAAACAAAAACUAAAGCCAGAUUCGAUAUUGCCUCUGCCAUGCAUAAAACUAGGCGCCGUCAUUAAAUCGUCUUUAUUGUUUAUUUUCAGCCAAUGUCGUCUUCUCCACAACCCACUGCGGAUGUCAAAUCUCUCUGGGGAAUGUGCCAUUUCGAGUUGUGAAGGAAACAGUCAGUCUGCAAGUUCGGAAUGGAAUACUACAACAAGACUCAGGGAGAAAAAGACCAGGAUUCAAGCACCACUGACCACUGCCUGGCCGAAGGAGGUGUACGAGAAAAAGUGAAUGAACCUCCAAGGCGCAAAAAAGAGGGUUCAUGAGACUUUUCCCCUUUCCGUAGAACGGCUAUGUAGUACGCACCAUACUAACGACUGAUGCACCAUACAUCAGGUCGCAUGUUUUCGCGACAUGAUGGGCAAAAACUAGACAGCUCAACAUUGACUGUUUCGAGUUCCACGAUACUAAAGUACAUGUUGAGACUAAUUGAAAAAUACUAGCUGAUAAAUGCUAAGUUUAGACGAUUGCCUAUUUUCUUGUGCAUUCCUGUUACUUACGCAACCCCUCUUAAUAUCCCCAUUCCCAUAGGGUGCCAUUGAAAAAUGUUUUAAGUCUGGAUAAUGAAACAGCUCCCUCAAGUCACUAGUAUCAGUAUGUAUACCUAGAACAUUUCGCUGAAAGGGUAGUUCUCAUAAUUGCCCUCGAAAAUGGCCAGUUUGCCCAGCCUCUAAUUCCAGUCACAACUGUUGAAGUACUCUUGGCGAAAUUGCUCCACUGUGUAGGUAACCAUGCUUCACAUUUUCAAAAUAAACUCUUGGUGCACAUUA
RNAcentral lists this long non-coding RNA (1092 nucleotides) under Dermacentor andersoni. RNAcentral describes it as "uncharacterized LOC126529139". Lineage: Eukaryota; Metazoa; Arthropoda; Arachnida; Ixodida; Ixodidae. The record is from RNAcentral.